RNAcentral lists this ribosomal RNA (309 nucleotides) under Triticum aestivum (bread wheat). Its description in RNAcentral is "partial small subunit ribosomal RNA". The record is from RNAcentral. Lineage: Eukaryota; Viridiplantae; Streptophyta; Magnoliopsida; Poales; Poaceae.
AUGAAUGAGCUAGGAUCAAAGCAGGUGAAGGGGCCGCCCGGCGGCCCGCUCGUCUUCAAGAUUUCCAGUAGGGUGCGGACGCGGCUCCCCAGCAUGGUGUUCCACUUCGCGGAUGGCGGUGACAUGUGGUUCACGUCGGGGAAGCUGUUUCAGUUUAGUGGCACGACAGCGCGGUUCUCGGUCGAGGGCCAUGGGUCCCACCGGACGGUGAUUGGCGCCGCGCAGCAGGUGAAUGCACGGUUCAUCUUCAACGUCGCUGCGGGGAGGCUGACCUUCGCAGAGGAGCUGUGCAGCAGGGAGGCGGCGUAG